CCGGUCACCGAGUGUUUCCAAAAGUGCCAUUCUUGAGACGACGUGGGUGACUCAUUAGAUGCAACAGACUCAAUGUCACGGCCAUGUCGACCUUCGAAAUCUCCAUGUCGUUCCUCUUUGUCGAUCCUGACGAUAUUCUCUAUUGGAGAAAGAUGAAGAAGAAGGCGUAGAGCGUGUGAUCGUGCUUGAUUGGCGAGUUUCUGACCCGUAGUUGGACAUUUUCACUUCUGCCGAAAUCGGCCGUCAAGCACACCGAGAGGAGGAUUGGGAGGAGGUUAGCGAAGCUUCCGAAGAGAAGAGGUUUUGUUUCGUAAUCCCUAGCGUCGUCAUACUUCCGGUCGCUUGUGUUGAUGGCAACGGAACCAGAUGUUGCAAGAAUGCAACCGUCGUGCUAGCUAGUAGAAUAGCGUAGGUGAAUACAAGAUGUCUCUACGUAUAGAAGGUUAUUGCCUUCGGUCUGAUCAGAGAAGUGGUCAGGGCGUGGUCGCUGUCGAACAGAAGCUCGAAGCUGUGCGCCGUACAAGCAGAGGACGUGCUUUGUUGAGAGUAAUAAUUUGUAGAUAGUGUAGAUAGAUGUGUACAGUUGGUUAUUUCUACUUUGUAAGUAGUUUUACAAUAGUUUGUGUAGCUUACUACUGUUUCUUCCAUAGCCUGAUUUUGCACUGUCCCGAGGUAAUCCGGGCUAAGCAAUGUUUAUAACCGUGUAGAGUUG
Corticium candelabrum is the source of this 712-nucleotide long non-coding RNA. RefSeq lists it as uncharacterized. The record is from RefSeq and is a predicted model, not a curated record. The transcript is spliced from 3 exons. Lineage: Eukaryota; Metazoa; Porifera; Homoscleromorpha; Homosclerophorida; Plakinidae.